RNAcentral lists this ribosomal RNA (253 nucleotides) under uncultured bacterium. Its description in RNAcentral is "partial 16S ribosomal RNA". It matches the Rfam family "Bacterial small subunit ribosomal RNA", at positions 524 to 776 of the family's 1533-position model. The record is from RNAcentral.
UACGUAGGGUGCAAGCGUUAAUCGGAAUUACUGGGCGUAAAGCGUGCGCAGGCGGUUCCGCAAGUCAGAUGUGAAAUCCCCGGGCUCAACCUGGGAACUGCAUUUGAAACUACGGGGCUAGAGUGUGUCAGAGGGGGGUGGAAUUCCACGUGUAGCAGUGAAAUUCGUAGAUAUCGGGAAGAACACCUGAGGCGAAGGCGGCUAUCUGGCGGUGCAUUGACGCUGAUGCGCGAAAGCGUGGGGAGCAAACAGG